GGGAGGAGAACCCUUCCAAUGGGAGAAGUAGUUUCCAUAACAUGGUAAUGAAAAUUCUGUGAAGAUGAGAAAGUAGCAUAGCCUGAAGAAGGAUGAAGACAUGAAGACAUCUUUGACCUUGGCUUCCUCUUUAAAUUGGAUGUUAGUAUCAGUCAAUCUGAAGGUGCUGUCCUGGGGGAAAGAGGGGAACAUUGUUCCCUUAAAGCUAAGCAGAGCAGCUGAUGGAAAAUGGAUUUGCCAAGAAGAUUUCAAUUUAACUGGAUUCCAUGUGAGUCUACUCAACCAACAUUAUAAUCAAGUGGCAGCACUGUGACGUAAUGAGGAAGGGGAAAAAGAAGGUAAAGUAAGGUCUAGACCUUGCCUUCAUAGAGCUUAUGGUCUAUGUGAAGAAGGAAUUGGACUAAAUGUUCUGCAAGGUCUUUUACAAGAUCUUUGAAAAUGUAUUUUUGAUAUACCAGUG
This is a long non-coding RNA of Vombatus ursinus (common wombat), 460 nucleotides long. RefSeq lists it as uncharacterized. The transcript is spliced from 3 exons. NCBI's taxonomy places the organism in Eukaryota, Metazoa, Chordata, Mammalia, Diprotodontia, Vombatidae. The record is from RefSeq and is a predicted model, not a curated record.